GGUGUAGGCGGUUUGGCAAGUCGAGUGUGAAAUCCCAGGGCCCAACCCUGGAACUGCACUCGAUACUGCUUGACUAGAGUCCCGGAGAGGGUGGCGGAACUCCCGGUGUAGAGGUGAAAUUCGUAGAUAUCGGGAGGAACACCAGUGGCGAAGGCGGCCACCUGGACGGUGACUGACGCUCAGACCCGAAAGCGUGGGGAGCAAACAGGAUUAGAUACCCUGGUAGUCC
This 229-nucleotide ribosomal RNA is filed under the name uncultured bacterium. RNAcentral describes it as "partial 16S ribosomal RNA". It matches the Rfam family "Bacterial small subunit ribosomal RNA", at positions 568 to 796 of the family's 1533-position model. The record is from RNAcentral.